GUGCUGAGUGGGCAAGAAGUGUAACAGAGAAGAAAACUCAAUAAUGGCAGGAUCCCGGAUUUGACCAAGGUGGCAAAAUACCAAGUCCGUUAACAUAAAGCAGAUAAAUAAAUGCUGUGAUUUUCAUCUCUUGGCUGAGUAACAAAGCUACAAUGUACGGUCGCAGAACUGAAGCAGGAUUUUUCAACCAGUGGACUUUACAUAAGGUGACCAGAUAGGAAUCUGUCCCAUCUUCUUGAUGGCAGAGGUGGGGGUGGUUUGACCCAAAAUUCAGCACCAAAGAGCCUGGUUCUUGGCAUCUUGUGAGCCACGACAUCUACCUGUUGGUAUCUAGAAAUAACUCCAUACGAAUCAGGAUACUCCUAAUAUCUGGCAUUAGGCUGACUCAUACCCAGUUUUCCCGUAUCCUGCACAGUAGUAUUGCAUGAAUCUUAGGGAUUUCAGCUUGAACUUUACAACCUGCUAACAGCAGUCAAUGUGCAAGGCACAGUUUCUAAACCAGUGCCUCUCAAAUUACCCAUUAUGAAAGACUAACUCUCUUUCCCAAUCCUUCAUAAACCAAUACUUGUGGUCUAUAGUCUGUUCAGCAAGAUAAUUUCUACUUAUCACACACUUGGAUGUUGUAGAUAUGUUAAAUUGCUCUGUAAGUUUUUAAAUGCUUACCCUUGAUUUCUGUGCUUUUCUCAUUGUGACAUAACAAACAGUUCAUGAACCAGCAUAGCCUCUAUUAACAUUUUCUUCCACUUGUGGAUGGAGCAGGCAUCCAUCAUGUCCAUGCUGUUCUACAUCUAUUCCCUCCCCUCACUCCUUCCCAGCAGCUCCUAAUUCCCUUCUGGGGACCCAUGCUGCUCUGGGGAAGAUGACAACACCCCUGGCUACAGGCAUGUGACACGUGACCUAGGAGGAGGCCCAUUGUAAAGGAGGGCAGAGAGCAUCAGAGUCAGGAAAAAGGACUAAUAACAU
Manis javanica (Malayan pangolin) is the source of this 963-nucleotide long non-coding RNA. RefSeq lists it as uncharacterized. The record is from RefSeq and is a predicted model, not a curated record. Lineage: Eukaryota; Metazoa; Chordata; Mammalia; Pholidota; Manidae.